AUUGAACGCUGGCGGCAUGCCUAACACAUGCAAGUCGAACGCGAAAGAGGGGCAACUCUUGAGUAGAGUGGCGGACGGGUGAGUAAUACGUAGGAAUCUGCCCUAGAGUGGGGGAUAACCUGUCGAAAGACGGGCUAAUACCGCAUAAUCUCUAAGGAGCAAAGGUGUCCCAUAGCAAUAUGGGGUUUCGCUUUAGGAUGAGCCUACGGCAGAUUAGCUAGUUGGUAGGGUAAUGGCCUACCAAGGCGACGAUCCGUAGCUGGUCUGAGAGGACGAUCAGCCACACUGGAACUGAGACACGGUCCAGACUCCUACGGGAGGCAGCAGUGGGGAAUAUUGGACAAUGGGGGAAACCCUGAUCCAGCAAUGCCGCGUGUGCGAUGAAGGCCUGCGGGUUGUAAAGCACUUUCGGUGGGGAAGAAAUACUCAAAGAUAAUACCUUUGAGGGUUGACGUUACCCACAGAAGAAGCACCGGCAAACUCUGUGCCAGCCGCCGCCUGUAA
This 504-nucleotide ribosomal RNA is filed under the name uncultured bacterium. RNAcentral describes it as "partial 16S ribosomal RNA". It matches the Rfam family "Bacterial small subunit ribosomal RNA", at positions 30 to 523 of the family's 1533-position model. The record is from RNAcentral.